UUAAUUAAGAGUUUGAUCUUGGCUCAGGAUGAACGCUGGCGGCGUGCUUAACACAUGCAAGUCGAGCGAGAA
Molecule: ribosomal RNA, 72 nt
Filed under: Clostridiaceae bacterium HSG29
Lineage: Bacteria; Bacillati; Bacillota; Clostridia; Eubacteriales; Clostridiaceae
Description: partial 16S ribosomal RNA
Rfam family: Bacterial small subunit ribosomal RNA
Source: RNAcentral